RNAcentral lists this ribosomal RNA (266 nucleotides) under uncultured Anoxybacillus sp. Its description in RNAcentral is "partial 16S ribosomal RNA". It matches the Rfam family "Bacterial small subunit ribosomal RNA", at positions 1114 to 1382 of the family's 1533-position model. The record is from RNAcentral. Lineage: Bacteria; Bacillati; Bacillota; Bacilli; Caryophanales; Anoxybacillaceae.
GUUGCCAGCAUUCAGUUGGGCACUCUAAGGUGACUGCCGGCUAAAAGUCGGAGGAAGGUGGGGAUGACGUCAAAUCAUCAUGCCCCUUAUGACCUGGGCUACACACGUGCUACAAUGGGCGGUACAAAGGGUCGCGAACCCGCAGGGGGAGCCAAUCCCAAAAAGCCGCUCUCAGUUCGGAUUGCAGGCUGCAACUCGCCUGCAUGAAGCCGGAAUCGCUAGUAAUCGCGGAUCAGCAUGCCGCGGUGAAUACGUUCCCGGGCCUU